GACGAACGCUGGCGGCGUGCUCAACACAUGCAAGUCGAACGGUAAGGCCUUUCGGGGUACACGAGUGGCGAACGGGUGAGUAACACGUGGGUGAUCUGCCCUGCACUCUGGGAUAAGCCUGGGAAACUGGGUCUAAUACCGAAUAGGACCAUGGACUUCACGGUUUGUGGUGGAAAGCUUUUGCGGUGUGGGAUGGGCCCGCGGCCUAUCAGCUUGUUGGUGGGGUAAUGGCCUACCAAGGCGACGACGGGUAGCCGGCCUGAGAGGGUGACCGGCCACACUGGGACUGAGAUACGGCCCAGACUCCUACGGGAGGCAGCAGUGGGGAAUAUUGCACAAUGGGCGCAAGCCUGAUGCAGCGACGCCGCGUGAGGGAUGACGGCCUUCGGUUGUAACCGUCUUCUAGCACAGACGAAGCGCAAGUGACGGUAUGUGCAGAAGAAGGACCGGCCGAACUACGUAGCCAGC
RNAcentral lists this ribosomal RNA (468 nucleotides) under uncultured bacterium. RNAcentral describes it as "bacterial SSU rRNA". It matches the Rfam family "Bacterial small subunit ribosomal RNA", at positions 28 to 512 of the family's 1533-position model. The record is from RNAcentral.